This 442-nucleotide ribosomal RNA is filed under the name uncultured Thiothrix sp. RNAcentral describes it as "bacterial SSU rRNA". It matches the Rfam family "Bacterial small subunit ribosomal RNA", at positions 336 to 795 of the family's 1533-position model. The record is from RNAcentral. Lineage: Bacteria; Pseudomonadati; Pseudomonadota; Gammaproteobacteria; Thiotrichales; Thiotrichaceae.
UUCCUACGGGUGGCAGCAGUCGGGAAUAUUGGACAAUGGGCGCAAGCCUGAUCCAGCAAUACCGCGUGUGUGAAGAAGGCCUGCGGGUUGUAAAGCACUUUCAGUGGGGAAGAUAAUGACGUUACCCACAGAAGAAGCACCGGCUAACUCCGUGCCAGCAGCCGCGGUAAUACGGAGGGUGCAAGCGUUAAUCGGAAUUACUGGGCGUAAAGCGCACGUAGGCGGCCUUUUAAGUCAGAUGUGAAAUCCCCGGGCUUAACCUGGGAACUGCACCUGAUACUGGGAGGCUAGAAUGUGGGAGAGGAGAGUGGAAUUUCCGGUGUAGCGGUGAAAUGCAUAGAGAUCGGAAGGAACAUCAGUGGCGAAGGCGGCUCUCUGGACCAACAUUGACGCUGAGGUGCGAAAGCGUGGGUAGCAAACAGGAUUAGAUACCCGGGUAGUC